UACGGAGGGCGCAAGCGUUGUUCGGAAUUACUGGGCGUAAAGCGCGUGUAGGCGGCUAGGUAAGUCUGAUGUGAAAGCCCGGGGCUCAACCCCGGAAGUGCAUCGGAUACUGUCUGGCUCGAGGGCGAGAGAGGAAAGUGGAAUUUCUGGUGUAGGGGUGAAAUCCGUAGAUAUCAGGAGGAACAUCAGUGGCGAAGGCGGCUUUCUGGCUCGUUACUGACGCUGAGACGCGAAAGCGUGGGGAGCAAACAGG
Molecule: ribosomal RNA, 253 nt
Filed under: uncultured bacterium
Lineage: Bacteria
Description: partial 16S ribosomal RNA
Rfam family: Bacterial small subunit ribosomal RNA
Source: RNAcentral